AAUAAUUCCACUUUUUCAGAAUGUUAAAAGCAUCAGAAACACAGAGAGAUGAUUAAUGAAAGUGAAUCUGCCCUCUCUUCAAACUACCAGUACAAACCCAUUCUGGAUUGUUAGUCCUUGAAGUUUGGGGUCAUCCUGCUUCCUGGCUAACUGGGAUAAAAAUAUUAAGAUUUGAAUUUUUCCUUUCAAUUUUAAAAAUGGUACAUACACAUACAUAAAUGUGUAUGUAUUACACUAUAUAUUAUUUCAUAGUUCAUAUGUAUAUAUAUGUAAUUAUUUACAUAAGGUCAUAUGUGCUUCUUGUGUAUGCCCAAAUGGAUUGUCUGAAUGUGGCUUUUAUGUAGGUGCGGAUAAAUCUUUGUAAUCUCGCCUCUUCAUCUCCAAGGGGAGAUUUUGUCUGCUGCCUAGAGGGGAUGCAGGAAUGGAAGACAAAAUUGGAGAGAAGACUCAUAUUGGCCUUUGACAGGAAAAUAACAGACAAUGGAGGGGUGUAAGGAUGGUCAGCCAAUCCAAAUCCUGUUUUGAUUCUGUGCUCUCUUCCAAGUAGAGUAGAAUGAUCUUCAAAUUGAGAAGGCUUACAGGGAACUCAGGGUUCUUGCUAUCAAGAAAGAAGACAUUUACCCCAGACCUUUUGGGUUCUGCAGUAGUUCUGUGCUGUUAUAUAAUGAACAAAGACGAAGGUGUUCCAGAAAGGGGAGGGUUACUCCAUCAUCAUCUUCUGUUUUGGAGAAGAGAAGAACUCAACUGAAAUUCUGAAGAACAGGAUUGACAGGAGAAGCCCCUGAAGAGAGCAGUGGAUUUUGAGAGUGAACAAGUGGUCAAGAAAUCUGAGAAUAGGAUUUAGAUAUGUAGGCCAUUCCUUUAAAAAAUGAACAGAAGAAAGGCCUAAAGGAAAUACAAACUUUAAAAGUUACAUGCUGAUUUAUUGUUCAUUUAAAAGAAAAAGUCAGAUGUGUAUAACAGAGAUUUAGUUGAUUUACAAUCCUCUUUUUCUGUUCUGCUAUGAAUACAGGAAUAUUCUUUUUCUUGGUGUCAGAAAUAAUGAUGAUGAUGAUGAUGGUGAUGAUGAUGAUGAUAAUUGAAAAAUGGAAGAUAGAAAACUGUUUAUAUGUAUUUUCCAAACUAGAAAUAAAGAUUUCACUAAGCAGUAAACUAUAACA
RNAcentral lists this long non-coding RNA (1160 nucleotides) under Monodelphis domestica (gray short-tailed opossum). RNAcentral's name for it is "lncRNA (ENSMODG00000047643.1)". The record is from RNAcentral. Lineage: Eukaryota; Metazoa; Chordata; Mammalia; Didelphimorphia; Didelphidae.